Molecule: long non-coding RNA, 1298 nt
Filed under: Fukomys damarensis (Damara mole-rat)
Lineage: Eukaryota; Metazoa; Chordata; Mammalia; Rodentia; Bathyergidae
Description: lncRNA (ENSFDAG00000027472.1)
Source: RNAcentral
GGUCACCAAGACCAUGGCGCUGCACUCUAAACUCAAUUAGAAAUUUAACAAACCUUAUAAAUCCUCCCUGGCCUGAGCCUUGUAAAUCUCCGGAGCGGGGCUGGCUUAGCACUUAUCCAUCUCCAGCUUAGUGACCUCCCCAGCCCAGCCUGGGAAUGAUUCCGGGCUGGGGACAGGUCUAAUUAGUGAACCCAAACUGCUGCUUCCAGCCCUGGCAGGAGAAACAGCAGGCUCAGUCCCUGCUCCAGUGGACUCUUCGAUGUGUGGGACGAGGGGAAAAGGGGCUGGAAAGGAUUCUUUGGUUGUUCACACAGCCCUGUUGGUGGUGUGUGCCAUGUGUGCCAUUGUUUUGGGAAGGCUGUUGUGUGGACCCCAGAUAGCCUCCUAAGAAGACAGUGCAUUUGUGGGCAGAUGUGAGGCCAUGUUGAUCGCAAGCAUGACACAGAGUUUUGGGAUAAGUGCUGAUUGCCGGAGAGAAUCAUGUUCUAAAGCAAUGUCUGUGAAAUCAGAGAGUGCAGACAGCUGCUUUUUUUUGAGACAGGGUCUUGCUAUGUCAUCCAGGCUGAUUUUGAACCUAUGAACUCCACUGAUGCUCCUGCCUCGGCCUCCUGCGCAGCAGGCAUAGACCACUGUACCCAACAAAACAGCCCCGUUUUAAGGGUUCAGUUUUAAGAUUUGGAGACGGAUGGAUUUUCCACCCAAGCUAUCCUUGUGAGGUGAUGCCCUCCCGGUCAGAGGGACUGUAGUCUAGGAUUUUGACCAUCAAUGGAGGACCUGCCGUGUGAUCACCAGGCAUGGACUCCACCCUCACUUUGCGCUUGGACUUUCCAGCUCACAGAGCCGUGAGAACUAAAUGCUGCUUGUAAGCCACCCGUUUUCUGGCAUUUUGUUACAGCAGCCCAAAUGGACUAAGACACUGGGGCUGGCGAGGGCGGAGAGCCCUCUUCCCCUUUUGCCCACUGCUCCUCUUCCCUCUGGACACAGGAGGCAGUGCAACCAUCAGCUGGAGUGACUGACACCAGCUCUGCCCUUACUGGCUGUUCUGGCUCCUCCUGCCCUGACCCUGGAGCAGUCAUCAGGAGGAGGUGCAGGGAUGAAGCCGACCCUGUGAUCCCCUGUGCUGAUGCUGGACACGGUGCGGAUCACGUCCGCUUUCACUACAACCAUCCUUGUUAUUCCUUCUGGCAAAGACCAGAGGCGGGGCCCGGCCUGAGGAGGGCGCUGAGGAGGCUGGUGUGGUGAGAGAAGCUUCUCUGGAGGGUGGCGUGGGUAGUGGGCUGGGGGCGGCAGGAUUUAGG